Molecule: ribosomal RNA, 419 nt
Filed under: uncultured bacterium
Lineage: Bacteria
Description: bacterial SSU rRNA
Rfam family: Bacterial small subunit ribosomal RNA
Source: RNAcentral
GGAAUAUUGGACAAUGGGCGGAAGCCUGAUCCAGCCAUGCCGCGUGAAGGAAGACUGCGCUCAGCGUUGUAAACUUCUUUUGGAUGGGAAUAAUAUUGUCGACGCGUUCGGCACUUGAAGGUACCAUCAGAAUAAGCACCGGCUAACUCCGUGCCAGCAGCCGCGGUAAUACGGAGGGUGCAAGCGUUAUCCGGAAUCACUGGGUUUAAAGGGUGCGUAGGCUGUUCGGUAAGUCAGUUGUGAAAUUCCCCGGCUUAACCGGUGGGACUGCGAUUGAUACUGUCGGACUUGAAUCAGGUUGAGGUAGGCGGAAUGUGGCAUGUAGCGGCGAAAUGCAUAGAUAUGCCAUAGAACACCGAUUGCGAAGGCAGCUUGCUGGACCUAGAUUGACGCUGAGGCACGAAAGCGUGGGGAGCAAA